ACCGUGUGCUUACAAGUAGUCAGAGCCCGUUAAUGGGUGAUGGCGUGCCUUUUGUAGAAUGAACCGGCGAGUUACGAUUUGAUGCAAGGUUAAGCAGUAAAUGUGGAGCCGUAGCGAAAGCGAGUCUGAAUAGGGCGUUUAGUAUUUGGUCGUAGACCCGAAACCAGGUGAUCUACCCUUGGUCAGGUUGAAGUUCAGGUAACACUGAAUGGAGGACCGAACCGACUUACGUUGAAAAGUGAGCGGAUGAACUGAGGGUAGCGGAGAAAUUCCAAUCGAACCUGGAGAUAGCUGGUUCUCUCCGAAAUAGCUUUAGGGCUAGCCUCAAGUGAUGAUUAUUGGAGGUAGAGCACUGUUUGGACGAGGGGCCCCUCUCGGGUUACCGAAUUCAGACAAACUCCGAAUGCCAAUUAAUUUAACUUGGGAGUCAGAACAUGGGUGAUAAGGUCCGUGUUCGAAAGGGAAACAGCCCAGACCACCAGCUAAGGUCCCAAAAUAUAUGUUAAGUGGAAAAGGAUGUGGCGUUGCCCAGACAACUAGGAUGUUGGCUUAGAAGCAGCCAUCAUUUAAAGAGUGCGUAAUAGCUCACUAGUCGAGUGACACUGCGCCGAAAAUGUACCGGGGCUAAACAUAUUACCGAAGCUGUGGAUUGUCCUUUGGACAAUGGUAGGAGAGCGUUCUAAGGGCGUUGAAGCAUGAUCGUAAGGACAUGUGGAGCGCUUAGAAGUGAGAAUGCCGGUGUGAGUAGCGAAAGACGGGUGAGAAUCCCGUCCACCGAUUGACUAAGGUUUCCAGAGGAAGGCUCGUCCGCUCUGGGUUAGUCGGGUCCUAAGCUGAGGCCGACAGGCGUAGGCGAUGGAUAACAGGUUGAUAUUCCUGUACCACCUAUA
This 890-nucleotide ribosomal RNA is filed under the name Staphylococcus aureus. RNAcentral describes it as "partial 23S ribosomal RNA". It matches the Rfam family "Bacterial large subunit ribosomal RNA", at positions 555 to 1452 of the family's 2925-position model. The record is from RNAcentral. Lineage: Bacteria; Bacillati; Bacillota; Bacilli; Caryophanales; Staphylococcaceae.